Molecule: ribosomal RNA, 253 nt
Filed under: uncultured bacterium
Lineage: Bacteria
Description: partial 16S ribosomal RNA
Rfam family: Bacterial small subunit ribosomal RNA
Source: RNAcentral
UACGGGGGGGGCAAGCGUUGUUCGGAAUUACUGGGCGUAAAGGGCUCGUAGGCGGUCAACUAAGUCGGACGUGAAAUCCCUCGGCUUAACCGGGGAACUGCGUCUGAUACUGGAUGGCUUGAGUUUGGGAGAGGGAUGCGGAAUUCCAGGUGUAGCGGUGAAAUGCGUAGAUAUCUGGAGGAACACCGGUGGCGAAGGCGGCAUCCUGGACCAACACUGACGCUGAGGAGCGAAAGCCAGGGGAGCAAACGGG